This 2109-nucleotide small RNA is filed under the name Drosophila pseudoobscura pseudoobscura. RNAcentral's name for it is "GA32690". The record is from RNAcentral. Lineage: Eukaryota; Metazoa; Arthropoda; Insecta; Diptera; Drosophilidae.
UUCGUGUCUGCUGAGAAAUGUAUUAUUGUUCAAGGGAAAGCCACAAGGAAAAUCACAAAGGAGUUCCCACAAUUUGGAGUUCAAAACGUGCUCUUCCUUCCUUUCGCACGCCAAUGCCAGUGCAGACACUUAUUAAUGAAAUCGGAUACGAGUCCACGUGUACAGGACCAAAUGCAAAACUGCAAAAUUGUUUGUCGCUUGGACCCGAUGAUUAUCUGCCCGACUGUGACACGGACAUGGACAUGGCCACGGGCGGACUGACAGCUGGCGCCUGCCUGGUCAUGUUUAAAUGAAAACCGAACUAGAGUCCAAUUUCUGCACUGCCCCUGCGGCUGGACGAGUGUCUGCCCGCUCCACGGGACACGCACCACGGUGCACGGCCCACUCGGCGCACUUUAUACAUGUAUAUCACAAAAGAUCGUUUUGUGGUCACAUUGGCAACCGGAGCUGGAGCUGGAGCCGGUGCCGGGGUCGGGGCCAAACACUUCACAUAAAUUGCAUUAAAACGCGUAGGAUGGUGCUCCACUGUCCUCACUGCGUGGGUUUGGGGCAGCGCCAAACAAACUAACAAUGGAAGAGCGGACACAAGGACACACGGACACACGGACACGCGGACACACGGACAUAAACAUGCUGCAAAAUGUUUGCCGGCUCUAAAACCAAAAUUGAAUUUGCGGUUGCACGCCCCAGGGCGUGGUGGUGUGGAUUGUGGGCCCGCGUGCAGGUGGGGCAAUGCAAAUAACUGUAAAUGAAGCUAAAAUGCGGUCAGAAAAUGGCAAGGCAAUAAAAAUAAUGGGCAAGUGCUUACUGGAGCCUGCAGCCAACAGUGCGUAUGUACAUAUAUUGGCCGGGAGGGGGGAACCAGAAACAAAAGUCGGUCAGAUUGAUAAUGAACAGCGGACGGGGGAGAAUUACCCACAACAACUACCUUUUUGCACAUAGAACACAAAUUGAUAUGAUAGGAUUAUGCAUUCGAUGGUUGUACACAUCAUUUCGAGGCAAUAUGCCCAAUCCUUUGACGUGAAUAUGAAUUCCGACAGGGGAUGUCAGAGUGGGCUACUAUGAUCCCAAACAAAACAUAAAAUCCAAAUUCGAGGGAGAAUAGAAUGCUUUUCAAAGUGACAUUUUGUUGAGAUUUAUUUGGAAAUAAAUAUUUAUUUAGUUGAGCCUGGAUAGGCCUCGGGUCUAGGUCGGAUCUUUCGACUAGAGGUGCUCCUGAAAUAUAUUCAUAAAGGGAAGGACGAUCCACCAACAAGCAGUCGGUGCGGGUCCAUGCUUUGUACUGGGAACCUUAUGGCUAUUAAGUACCUUCGGGUUGCAGAACAGCAGCAUUAAUUUGUCGGGCUUGUACAGCAGAUGGCGGGUGUGUUUGCCAAGCACUACAUUUUCCUAGACCAAGACUCGGCCUUAAUGACGAUGAUGAUGAAUUGAUGAGGCUUCUGCCAGCAUAUAGGCGACACUUUAGGCGCCGCGGGACCACUGCUGCAGGCGCUUGUUGACUCCAUGUGGCAUGUCUUCUAAGGAGCCUGGAAUCUUCGCCUCGUCGCAGCCCGAAACCUCUUGCGAAGCCAGGAGCUAUCCAGCAGUAUGUGUCCAUGGAUAGCUGUCUGUCAUAGGUCACCCGAACAUCAGCAGCAAAGGGCCUUUUGUUCAAGAUGCAGGACUCCCAACCUUUCGUCACAUUCCCCCUCGUCGAAGGUCGAAGUGGCAGCCUCCAGGUCCCUCCAGGAACUCAACGCCUUUGUUUUUUUUUGUAUGAAACAUCCUUUUGCUGGACGGAAUGGCCAUUUUAAAGUUUGCCAGAUCCUUUGAUACAUCCUCCGGUCCUGCAAGAUGGCAGUCGAGACGGCACAGAUGCCACUAUUUUCAAGGAUUCCUUUAUCACUGGAAAUGAUGGCAGUAAUGUCGUCUAGGCUGCUAUCUCACAGAGUCGAAGGACACGAAGGAGUUGUCCGAGGACCUGGCCAACUUUAAAUGAUCGGAGUAGUGAUCGUUUUUUGUAUCUAUCCGGAUAGAGAUUACCUAUUGAAUGUUGCCCCAAGGCUGUGUUGAAUUUCAUCAAAAUUUACAAGAUAUAUUUGUAUCAAUAAAUUUGUAUAUUUUUUAGAG